This 250-nucleotide ribosomal RNA is filed under the name uncultured bacterium. RNAcentral's name for it is "partial 16S ribosomal RNA". It matches the Rfam family "Bacterial small subunit ribosomal RNA", at positions 524 to 773 of the family's 1533-position model. The record is from RNAcentral.
UACAUAGGGGGCAAGCGUUAUCCGGAUUUACUGGGUGUAAAGGGUGCGUAGGCGGCAGUAUAAGUCAGAUGUGAAAACCCGGGGCUCAACCCCGGGACUGCAUUUGAAACUAUACAGCUAGAGUACAGGAGAGGUAAGUGGAAUUCCUAGUGUAGCGGUGAAAUGCGUAGAUAUUAGGAAGAACACCAGUGGCGAAGGCGACUUACUGGACUGACACUGACGCUGAGGCACGAAAGCGUGGGGAGCGAAC